This 301-nucleotide ribosomal RNA is filed under the name uncultured bacterium. RNAcentral describes it as "partial 16S ribosomal RNA". It matches the Rfam family "Bacterial small subunit ribosomal RNA", at positions 509 to 807 of the family's 1533-position model. The record is from RNAcentral.
CAGUAGCCACGGGAAUACGAAGGGUGCAAGCGUUAAUCGGAAUUACUGGGCGUAAAGCGUGCGUAGGCGGUUUGUUAAGUCUGUUGUGAAAUCCCCGGGCUCAACCUGGGAAUGGCAAUGGAUACUGGCAAGCUAGAGUGUGUCAGAGGAUGGUGGAAUUCCCGGUGUAGCGGUGAAAUGCGUAGAGAUCGGAAGGAACAUCUGUGGCGAAGGCGACUAUCUGGGCCAACACUGACACUGAGGCACGAAAGCGUGGGGAGCAAACAGGAUUAGAUACCCCUGUAGUCCCUGUCUCUUAUAC